UGAACGCUGGCGGCAGGCCUAACACAUGCAAGUCGAACGGUAACAGGAAGCAGCUUGCUGCUUCGCUGACGAGUGGCGGACGGGUGAGUAAUGUCUGGGAAACUGCCUGAUGGAGGGGGAUAACUACUGGAAACGGUAGCUAAUACCGCAUAACGUCGCAAGACCAAAGAGGGGGACCUUCGGGCCUCUUGCCAUCGGAUGUGCCCAGAUGGGAUUAGCUAGUAGGUGGGGUAACGGCUCACCUAGGCGACGAUCCCUAGCUGGUCUGAGAGGAUGACCAGCCACACUGGAACUGAGACACGGUCCAGACUCCUACGGGAGGCAGCAGUGGGGAAUAUUGCACAAUGGGCGCAAGCCUGAUGCAGCCAUGCCGCGUGUAUGAAGAAGGCCUUCGGGUUGUAAAGUACUUUCAGCGGGGAGGAAGGCGACAAGGUUAAUAACCUUGUCGAUUGACGUUACCCGCAGAAGAAGCACCGGCUAACUCCGUGCCAGCAGCCGCGGUAAUACGGAGGGUGCAAGCGUUAAUCGGAAUUACUGGGCGUAAAGCGCACGCAGGCGGUCUGUCAAGUCGGAUGUGAAAUCCCCGGGCUCAACCUGGGAACUGCAUUCAAAACUGGCGGCUAGAGUCUUGUAGAGGGGGGUAGAAUUCCAGGUGUAGCGGGUGAAAUGCGUAGAGAUCUGGAAGGAAUACCGGUGGCGAGAGGCGGCCCCUCUGGACAAAGACUGACUGCUCAGGUGUCGAAAGCGUGGGGAGACAAAACAGGAUUUAGAUACCCCUGGUAGUCCACGCCCUAAAACGAUGUCGACUUGGAGGUUGUGCCCCUGAGGCGUGGCUUCCGGAGCUAACGCGUUAAGUCGACCGCCUGGGGAGUACGGCCGCAAGGUUAAAACUCAAAUGAAUUGACGGGGGCCCGCACAAGCGGUGGAGCAUGUGGUUUAAUUCGAUGCAACGCGAAGAACCUUACCUACUCUUGACAUCCAGAGAACUUAGCAGAGAUGCUUUGGUGCCUUCGGGAACUCUGAGACAGGUGCUGCAUGGCUGUCGUCAGCUCGUGUUGUGAAAUGUUGGGUUAAGUCCCGCAACGAGCGCAACCCUUAUCCUUUGUUGCCAGCGGUUAGGCCGGGAACUCAAAGGAGACUGCCAGUGAUAAACUGGAGGAAGGUGGGGAUGACGUCAAGUCAUCAUGGCCCUUACGAGUAGGGCUACACACGUGCUACAAUGGCGCAUACAAAGAGAAGCGACCUCGCGAGAGCAAGCGGACCUCAUAAAGUGCGUCGUAGUCCGGAUUGGAGUCUGCAACUCGACUCCAUGAAGUCGGAAUCGCUAGUAAUCGUGGAUCAGAAUGCCACGGUGAAUACGUUCCCGGGCCUUGUACACACCG
Molecule: ribosomal RNA, 1382 nt
Filed under: uncultured bacterium
Lineage: Bacteria
Description: 16S ribosomal RNA
Rfam family: Bacterial small subunit ribosomal RNA
Source: RNAcentral